UACGUAGGGUGCAAGCGUUGUCCGGAAUUAUUGGGCGUAAAGAGCUCGUAGGCGGCUUGUCGCGUCGUCCGUGAAAACCUGCAGCUCAACUGCAGGCUUGCGGUCGAUACGGGCAGGCUAGAGUUCGGUAGGGGAGACUGGAAUUCCUGGUGUAGCGGUGAAAUGCGCAGAGUAUCAGGAGGAACACCGGUGGCGAAGGCGGCAUCCUGGACCGACACUGACGCUGAGGAGCGAAAGCCAGGGAGCAAACGGG
RNAcentral lists this ribosomal RNA (253 nucleotides) under uncultured bacterium. Its description in RNAcentral is "partial 16S ribosomal RNA". It matches the Rfam family "Bacterial small subunit ribosomal RNA", at positions 524 to 776 of the family's 1533-position model. The record is from RNAcentral.